RNAcentral lists this ribosomal RNA (228 nucleotides) under uncultured bacterium. RNAcentral describes it as "partial 16S ribosomal RNA". It matches the Rfam family "Bacterial small subunit ribosomal RNA", at positions 103 to 334 of the family's 1533-position model. The record is from RNAcentral.
CGGGUGAGUAAUGUAUAGGAACUUGCCUAGUAGUGGGGGAUAACGUGUGGAAACGCACGCUAAUACCGCAUACGCUCUACGGAGGAAAGCGGGGGAUCUUCGGACCUCGUGCUACUAGAUGGGCCUAUAUCAGAUUAGCUAGUUGGUAAGGUAGUGGCUUACCAAGGCGACGAUCUGUAGCUGGUUUGAGAGAAUGAUCAGCCACACUGGGACUGAGACACGGCCCAG